AAAGCCUUUGGCUUGGAAUGUCCUAAACACAUUGCACAAAGCUACUCUGCAUGGUUAUCUUUAAUCACGUCACAUAGGAACCAAUUAUGAUGUAGAAUGUUGCCACUCAAAGUGUGAUCUUUGGAGAAAAGCAUUAUCACCUACUGGAAACCUGUGAGAAAUGCAGAAUCUCCAUCCCCACCCCAGAAAUGCUGAAUCGGAUUCUGCGUUUAAUCAAGGACCUCAGAAAGGAAAUGAGAUCAACCAGAUAACCUUCUUGGAUUCCUUCAAGUGUUGACUCCACAGUACCUUAUUUUCAAGGUCAAGCAAGUGCCCAAAUGUGACCGACGCUGCCAUUCACAGUAAAAGGCCAAACAAGAUGGCCAGGCCCUUUGCCCUCAUUAAGAAUGUAAUCUAGAGCUGUAGUCCUCAAGCAUUUAUCAUCACAUACCCAUCAAUAAAAUUUGUUGAGUGUGCACCUCCAA
RNAcentral lists this long non-coding RNA (464 nucleotides) under Homo sapiens (human). RNAcentral describes it as "HSALNT0316061". Lineage: Eukaryota; Metazoa; Chordata; Mammalia; Primates; Hominidae. The record is from RNAcentral.